This 75-nucleotide transfer RNA is filed under the name Cavernulicola chilensis. RNAcentral describes it as "tRNA-Arg". It matches the Rfam family "tRNA". Rfam says of the family: Transfer RNA (tRNA) molecules are approximately 80 nucleotides in length. The record is from RNAcentral. Lineage: Eukaryota; Rhodophyta; Bangiophyceae; Cavernulicolales; Cavernulicolaceae.
UGCGUUUUUAGCUCAAUGGAUAGAGCAACAGCCUUCUAAGCUGUAGCGUGUAGGUUCGAUCCCUACAAAACGCGC